Molecule: microRNA precursor, 57 nt
Filed under: Eisenia fetida (common brandling worm)
Lineage: Eukaryota; Metazoa; Annelida; Clitellata; Crassiclitellata; Lumbricidae
Description: Efe-Mir-10-P3g_pre stem-loop
Source: RNAcentral
UCCCUGAGACCUUAACUUGUGGUGUCUUCAGGUCCACAAGUAAGGAUCUCAGGAGCC